GUAUACAUUCCUGAUGCUUUUAAAGUUUUCCAGAAACGCUCUAGUAGCAAGUAACAUUCCAAUUGAGAACCUUGUUCUUUAUUAUACAUUAAAAUAUCAAAUAAAUGUUUUUUUUGCCCUUUUCUGAAUUUUACUGCUUACUGGUAUGCACACUGUUUUCAUUCUUCAUUCAUCAUUCUUAACAAUCUUGUGUCCUUGGGCCGUAGUAUCCAUAGUUGGCCGAGUUUGUAUGAUUGAAUGGUGCUGAUGUUUGAGAACUUUCUUCUUCCGAAGAUGAUGAUGAUAUAAAAACUAGAAUUUUAAAUGUUCUUCAUCAGCCUGUAAAUGCUUUAAAAUGUCCACUUGUAUAUCGUCAAGGUUACUAAUACCUUGUGUCAACCUCUCACUAAAUAUGACAUUUCACAGAUGCAAAAAUACAGCCCAGGUUGAAUGAGAUUUGGUCAACGUAAACCAACUGUUAGUGACACAGUCAGGACUAGAGCCUGUGUCUCUGACUCAAAGUACUUCUUGGAACUUUCUGAGUUAAAAACAGUCUUCCUUUUCCUUCAGGUUAAAAUACUUCAAGCCACCGGCUUACCACAGCAUCUGUCCCACUUUGUAUUCUGCAAAUACAACUUCUGGGAUCAACAGGAGCCGGUAAUUGUUGCACCUGAGGUGGAUACCUCAUCCUCUCCUGUCAGCAAGGAACCUCAGUGCAUGGUUGUCUUUGAUCAGUGCAAUGUAAGUGUGUUUUCCAGACUGGGGCAGCGUUUAAUUACUCAGGUCAAAACAAAAAACAACCCAUAUUUUGUUGAGUAAUUUGGUACCAGUCUGUGUCUUGGAUCAGUUUUUUAGAGUGGGGUUGGAGUCAAAGACUAAAGUGCCAUCAACACACUGUAUGUACAUGUUAAACUUACACAACGUUAUAUGUCAAUUAUAUCUUUGUAAGCCUGGGGGAAAAAGCAAAACUAUAGUGUCAGUGCAUGUAACUCCUCCAGCAUCAAAAGUUAACUUUUGUGUGACUAUAUGUACAUAUGUCUCCUCUUCUCCAGAAGGAAUCCAUGUUUUGUAUGAGUUACUGGAGAAACUGUCAUCUGGGAAGGUUAGGAAACUAGUGUUUUAGAGAAAGUGAAGAUAGAAGGGAGACACGAACUAGCAUUGUGGAGCCCCUAAUGUUCUGUUCAGCACUUUGUGAUUCUUUCAUUUGCUCUUUCCCACAGUUGUAUUUGAUGACAGUGCUUUUUUUAGCUGAAGAAGUCGGUUCAGAGGUCAUUUGCCCAUGGCUAGUAACUAGCAGAGCCGGGACUGUCAGAUUCUAAAUUCUCUUUUUCUACUUUAUCUCACUUGAGCCAUCUCAUUUUUUUUUUUUCGAGAGAGGUCUCUUUCUAAUCUGUUUAAAACAGAAAUACUUUUGUUGUGCUAAAGAUUGAGAGAGAGAGAGAUUCUAUGACUUUUUAAAAUAAACUUUUUUAGAGCUUAAUCCUAAUUAUUGCAAGAGGCUGUUUUACAUCUAUCGUACAAAGAUGGACAGAUAGGAGAAUUUUUUUAAAAUAGGUGAUUAUUUGCACUGAUGAUCAGUAUUUAUUUCCUUUCUCUCUCAUUAUUGGAGAUAGUUAACUUCCUAAAAACUGGAAAAAAAUUGUUUUUCCAACACACUGCUGCCUUACUGGAUGUAAUAACUUUUAUAUCAAGAUGUAGAUCAUUGUUGUCAUUCUUAAUAUAAUUAUUUAUACUUUCAAAAAUAGCUCCCAACAUAUUGCUAACAAAAUAGAAUACAGUGCUGGUCUUUCACAAUAGAUUUUCAAGGUGAAAAGUUUUUUAAAAAUCAGAGUUAAGAACCUUGGGCCAUCUGAGCAUUCAUUAUGGGUGUUGGAUGACAGUUUUGUCCUAUGGCUAAAACAUUCUAUUUCUCUUCUCCAUAAUGAAGUGAGGAUAUGUCAGGUGUAAGUAAUUGUAAGGUCACCAGAAGGUGUUUUCUUCUUCUGUACUUACUUCCUUUCAGGAAUUUUCUGUUGGCAUCACUGAAGACUUUAUUGAGCAUCUUUCAGAAGGGGCUUUGGCAAUUGAAGUCUAUGGCCAUAAGAUGAAUGAUCCUCGGAAAAACCCAACCCUGUGGGAUUUGGGGAUUAUCCAAGCAAAAACACGCAGCCUUCGGGACAGGUGAAUUUUAGAUAUCCAUCUGAUUCCAUUUAUAAUUUUAAAAAAUUGCUAGAGAUUAAUAUUGUCAUUUAUAAAGGUUACCCCUUCCUGAGCAUUACCAGUAUUCCAGUAAUAGUUGGUGUUAUGUCCACGGUAUUAACAGCACAGUUAAACUUCCUUGAAGAAGUGAACUUUGAAGAGUGAUGGGAAAAAGUUAAGAAAUAGGUAGUUAAGAAUAAAGUGUGAAAUGAAUUUUGGGAGAAUAGGCUGCUUAUCAUUAUGAAAUACUUCUAAUUAAUCAUCUGUAGAGAAAAUAGAUCAAGAUAUACUCUGGAAUUCAGGUUUACAUGUUUUUUUUAAAAAAAUUAAUUAUUUUUGGCUGUGUUGGGUCUUCGUUAUAGCGUGCGGGCUUUCUCUAGUUGUGGUGAGCGGGGGCUACUGUUCGUUGCGGUGCGCGGGCUUCUCAUUGCGGUGGCCUCUUUUGUUGUGGAGCACUGGCUCGGCAUGCAGGCUUCAGUAGUUGUGGCACUCAGGCUCAGUAGUUGUGGCUCGUGGGCUCUAGAGCACAGGCUCAGUAGUUGUGGCGCACGGGCUUAGUUGCUCCACAGCAUGUGGGAUCCUCCUGGACCAGGGCUCGAACCCGUGUCCCCUGCAUUGGCAGGUGGACUCUUAAUCACUGCACCACCAGGGAAGUCCCUUACUUAUUCUAUCUUUAGCUCAAAGUUCUUUUCAAGUAGCAUUAAUCAUGGAAGGAGGAAGGCUUACUUGUUGACCAGGAUUUUAAACAGAAGAGUUAAAAGGAAAAGACUGAAAGAGCAUAUAUUUGUACUGCAUCUAAUUAUAGAUGAGAAGCAGAUUUUCUUCUUUUUUUUGUAUUUAGAAAGUUUUACCAAAUACUAAAUUAGACAUUGGGAUUUUUUUUUUUUGAUUCUCUUACUGACCUCAGCAGAGAUACUUGUCAAGUCACUAAAGCAUACAGCACUACCUUGGCUGUAUGAAAAGCUAAUCACUGCAACUUAUUUCUGUACUUCUGAUAACAAUGUUUAAAUUUUUGAAUAACCACUUUGAAAUAGAUUUCUAAUUAUCAUACCUUUUUGAAUGAAAUAAAGGCAUCAUUUUUAGUUCUGAUGUUGUUUGUUGAACUUUGCUUUUAAUUACAUUUGCCAGUAUGUAUUUGUGUAUUACUCACUGAACUACAGAUAAUUCUACUGAGUUAUUCUGUUUGGAGGUUAUUUUCAUCAUUAAUUCUCAUGUGUAGGAUCCUAAGCUGCCAGUAUUGAAAUAGAAAUGUAUGAUUUUCCAAGAACUUCAACUAUUUCCUAGAUGGAGCGAAGUCACCAGGAAAGUGGAAUUCUGGGUUCAAAUCUUGGAACAGAAUGAGAAUGGUGAAUACUGCCCUGUAGAGGUAAUUCCUGCAAAGGACGUGCCAACAGGUGGAAUCUUCCAACUCCGGCAGGUAAUGAAAUUUUUAAUGUUAAUAUUGAAUUCUUUGGUGUCGUAAAGGUUAAUAUUGGAUUCCUUUUAGCAGAAACAUCAGGGAUAAUGAAAUCUAGAUUGGCCAAGACCACUUAUUAAAGUUUUCUCUCCCUUCAUGUGUAUUUUCUUUCAUUUUCAAAAAUAAAGCUGUUUACAGUAUUUAAAACCAGCUUCUGUGAAGUUUAAGUAAGAAAAAGAUAAGCUUUGGGGACUCCCCUAGUGGCACAGUGGGUAAGACUUGCGCUCCCAGUGCACAGGGGUUCCGGGUUCAAUCCCUGGUCAAGGGAACUAGAUCCCACAUGCAUGCCGCAACUAAGGAGCCAGCAAGCUGCAACUAAGGAGCCAGCAAGCCGCAACAAGGAGCCCAUGUGCUGCAACUAAGGAGCCCACCUGCUGCAACUAAGACCCAGUGCGACCAAAUAAAUAUUUUUUUUAAAAAAAGAAAAAGAUAAGCUUUAAAGUGACUUAGAAUUGAACUGUAGGAAAUAAAACAAACGUAUCAAGCAGCAUUAGAACAUUUAUAAAGACAAGGAGAGGCUGUGUGACAUGGCAGAAAGAACAAGCACUUCAGAGUCUAACGUUCUGGGGUUUGGUUCUGGCUGUCCCAUGGCCUAGCUGUAUAUCCGUGAGCAAGUUCAGUCACCUCCUGGAACCUUUCCUCAGGUGUAAAGUGGAGCGGUUUGAUAACACCAACUUUGUAGGGUUAUUGUGAGGAUUAGAAAUACUGUAUAUGAGGCUUCCCUGGUGGCACAGUGGUUGAGAGUCCACCUGCCGAUGCAGGGGACACGGGUUCGUGCCCCGGUCUGGGAGAAUCCCACAUGCUGUGGAGCGGCUGGGCCCGUGAGCCAUGGCAUCUGAGCCUGUGCGUCCGGAGCCCCUGCUCUGCAACGGGAGAGGCCACAACAGUGAGAGGCCCGCGUACCGCAAAAAAAGAAAUACUAUAUGGAGCCCAGUGCUUGAUACAUGGGAGAUGAGAAGUGUUUUUCCCUCUGAUGCCCACCAGUUCUCUGCUUCUCUGCAGGCACCAACUGGGUGUCUUGUAAUUCAGUUCAGUUUGGACCCUAACUACCCAGAGCGAGCAUCAUACUCCACAGGUUUAAGGGCCCAGACUUACACAGGACUGCCCUCACUUCAGACGCCAGCUGCAAGUAUCAGGGCCCCAGGUCACCCACAUUUCUGUCCUACUUGGCUACAGUUGAGGGUUCCCGCAACUCUCAGGUUUCAUAGUUUACUGGAAUGACUCACAAAACUCAGGAAAGCCCUUUGCUUACUGUUACCAGUUUACUGUAAAAGAUACAACUCAGGAACAGCCAAGCGGAAGAGCUGCAUGGGGUAAGGUGUGGAGGAAGGAUGAGGAGCUGCCAUGUGCCCUUCGCUGCGCCAGCUUCCCAGCACCUGACGUGUUCACCAGCCAGGAAGCUCUAACCCCAUCGUUAGUAGGUUUUUACGUAGGCGUGGUGGAUGACAGUGCUGGCCUUCGGUGAUUAACCCCAUCUCCAGCCCCUUUUGUCUCUCUCCCUGAGGUUUUGGCGUAGGGCUGAAAGUUCCAACCUUCUGAUCAAGGCUUGGUCUUCCUGGUGACCAGCCCCAAUCCUGGAACCACCUAGGGAUCUGCCUAGAGUGACCAAAUGAAGAGUCACAUCGUUAAAAGACGCACCUAUCACCUUUAUCAUUAAGGAAAUUCCAAGAGUUUUAGGAGCUCUGUGCCAGGAACUGAGGACAAAGACCAAAUAUCUUUUCUAUCUUUCUUAACACGUUAGGUAAAUAGGACACGUUAAGUAAAUGCAGCUAGGUAGAUGUGAAUACCUGCCAGAAACCAAUACAGCAGAGACACGUGUGGGACUUGUCACUUAACCCCAGACAGAUGUGAUCUGUAGUAUCUGUGCUGCAAAUUAAAGAUGAGAGAGAGUAUCUUAAUGGAAUUUACAUGUAAGACUUAGAAAUACUCUUGUUUGCUAUUCUUUACGUGAAAUCAACAUUUAGUAGAAUAUUAUUGCCUGUGAUAGUUUCCAUACUUUAAAACAGUAGUAAAAUAUUAGAAUGGCUCAAGAAAAUGAAUGUUGAAAUCAUUCAAAGC
Molecule: long non-coding RNA, 5671 nt
Organism: Phocoena sinus (vaquita)
Lineage: Eukaryota; Metazoa; Chordata; Mammalia; Artiodactyla; Phocoenidae
Source: Ensembl